ACCUGCCCAUCAGAAGGGGAUAACACUUGGAAACAGGUGCUAAUACCGUAUAACAAUCGAAACCGCAUGGUUUUGAUUUGAAAGGCGCUUUCGGGUGUCGCUGAUGGAUGGACCCGCGGUGCAUUAGCUAGUUGGUGAGGUAACGGCUCACCAAGGCCACGAUGCAUAGCCGACCUGAGAGGGUGAUCGGCCACAUUGGGACUGAGACACGGCCCAAACUCCUACGGGAGGCAGCAGUAGGGAAUCUUCGGCAAUGGACGAAAGUCUGACCGAGCAACGCCGCGUGAGUGAAGAAGGUUUUCGGAUCGUAAAACUCUGUUGUUAGAGAAGAACAAGGAUGAGAGUAACUGUUCAUCCCUUGACGGUAUCUAACCAGAAAGCCACGGCUAACUACGUGCCAGCAGCCGCGGUAAUACGUAGGUGGCAAGCGUUGUCCGGAUUUAUUGGGCGUAAAGCGAGCGCAGGCGGUUUCUUAAGUCUGAUGUGAAAGCCCCCGGCUCAACCGGGGAGGGUCAUUGGAAACUGGGAGACUUGAGUGCAGAAGAGGAGAGUGGAAUUCCAUGUGUAGCGGUGAAAUGCGUAGAUAUAUGGAGGAACACCAGUGGCGAAGGCGGCUCUCUGGUCUGUAACUGACGCUGAGGCUCGAAAGCGUGGGGAGCAAACAGGAUUAGAUACCCUGGUAGUCCACGCCGUAAACGAUGAGUGCUAAGUGUUGGAGGGUUUCCGCCCUUCAGUGCUGCAGCUAACGCAUUAAGCACUCCGCCUGGGGAGUACGACCGCAAGGUUGAAACUCAAAGGAAUUGACGGGGGCCCGCACAAGCGGUGGAGCAUGUGGUUUAAUUCGAAGCAACGCGAAGAACCUUACCAGGUCUUGACAUCCUUUGACCACUCUAGAGAUAGAGCUUCCCCUUCGGGGGCAAAGUGACAGGUGGUGCAUGGUUGUCGUCAGCUCGUGUCGUGAGAUGUUGGGUUAAGUCCCGCAACGAGCGCAACCCUUAUUGUUAGUUGCCAUCAUUCAGUUGGGCACUCUAGCAAGACUGCCGGUGACAAACCGGAGGAAGGUGGGGAUGACGUCAAAUCAUCAUGCCCCUUAUGACCUGGGCUACACACGUGCU
Molecule: ribosomal RNA, 1115 nt
Filed under: Enterococcus faecium
Lineage: Bacteria; Bacillati; Bacillota; Bacilli; Lactobacillales; Enterococcaceae
Description: bacterial SSU rRNA
Rfam family: Bacterial small subunit ribosomal RNA
Source: RNAcentral